Molecule: ribosomal RNA, 487 nt
Filed under: uncultured bacterium
Lineage: Bacteria
Description: bacterial SSU rRNA
Rfam family: Bacterial small subunit ribosomal RNA
Source: RNAcentral
GACGACGCUGGCGGCGUGGAUUAGGCAUGCAAGUCGAACGGUAUCAUCCUUUCGGGGGUGAGAGAGUGGCGAACUGGUGAGUAACACGUAGGUUAUCUACCCUCAAGACGGGGACAACCCAGGGAAACUUGGGCUAAUACCGGAUGUGAGCAACUUUUAGUUGUUUGAAAGGUGGCGUAAGCUGUCGCUUGGGGAUGAGCCUGCGUCCUAUUAGUUAGUUGGUGAGGUAACGGCUCACCUAGGCAAUGAUAGGUAGGCGGCCUUAACGGGUGGUCGCCCACACUGGGAUUGAGAUACGGCCCAGACUCCUACGGGAGGCAGCAGUCGAGAAUAGUCUACAAUGGUCGGGAAGACUGAUAGUGCGACGCCGCGUGAACGAUGAAUCCCUUCGGGGUGUAAAGUUCUUUUAUAUGUGAGCAGUGCUUCUUAUAUUAACAGUAUGGGGAGAGAGAUAUUAGCAUAUGAAUAAGCAACGGCUAACUCCGUG